UACGGAGGGUGCAAGCGUUAUCCGGAUUCACUGGGUUUAAAGGGAGCGUAGGAGGGCAGGUAAGUCAGUGGUGAAAUCUUCGAGCUUAACUCGGAAACUGCCGUUGAUACUAUCUGUCUUGAAUACCGUGGAGAUGAGCGGAAUAUGUCAUGUAGCGGUGAAAUGCUUAGAUAUGACAUAGAACACCGAUUGCGAAGGCAGCUCGUUACACGAAUAUUGACUCUGAGGCUCGAAAGCGUGGGGAUCAAACAGGAUUAGAAACCCCCGUAGUCC
RNAcentral lists this ribosomal RNA (273 nucleotides) under uncultured bacterium. RNAcentral describes it as "partial 16S ribosomal RNA". It matches the Rfam family "Bacterial small subunit ribosomal RNA", at positions 524 to 796 of the family's 1533-position model. The record is from RNAcentral.